This is a long non-coding RNA of Mesocricetus auratus (golden hamster), 2242 nucleotides long. RefSeq lists it as uncharacterized. The transcript has 7 exons. The record is from RefSeq and is a predicted model, not a curated record. NCBI's taxonomy places the organism in Eukaryota, Metazoa, Chordata, Mammalia, Rodentia, Cricetidae.
AGCCGCCAGAGGAAUAAGAGGUCCGGACCCUAUUCUCCGGCAUCUUCAAGGGAAGACUGGAGCUCAGCAACUAUUUUCUUGCUACACAAAUACUCAGAUUAUUUCCUAUUCCCCAGCUCAAAACCAGGGUCAAGGUGUGAAAUGUGAGAACAGCUUACAUAUGUUGAUGAAGUGGACCUGACUUAUGAUAUCUAGCUAGGAGUGUUGUUGAAGACCAUGGAAGAUUCAUGUUUACUUCGAAGACAACAGUGCCAAGUGUUUUCCGGAAAAUGACCACAACAAUCCACACAGGAUCUGUCUCCUAACGCUUUUGUGACAUUUGGAAGUGGGUGCUUCACAACCAGAGAGGUGGACAGGGUGGAGGAGUCUACUGGUGAUCUGCUUUACUCGCCUAGGCUCAGGAGGCCUCCAGAGAGGAGCCCGGAGGCCUGGCACAAAGGCAGGAGCUCCGAGUAUCUUCCAGUGCUACAAGAUUGAAAACUUCUGUCUGCCACGGAAAAGACUCGACUUCAUAAAGGGCUGUAUACCAAGGAUGGUUUCAACGGAAGAUGUUCACUAGAGAUGAAAGCAACAUCUGACAACAUGGUUGGCAAUGCCAAAUUCGAUGCCCUCAGUCUGCUUCAGAAACAAUCUCCAUGAAAAAUAACCAGUGAACCGAACGCCAGGACUCAGACGGUAUUUCCCGAAGGAUCCGGCUUUCCCAGCAUGCAGAGGGUUGGCUCUACUGGGUGACUGAUACACAACCUAGGGCUUCUCACACUACUUUCUGAGGCCACCCUCCACUCCAAGGGCAGUCAAUACCCUUCCAUGCCUGCAAUGAGGACUCACUGGCCAAGCUAAUUCCAAAGCACUGAACGAAUUAGUGUUUCCAAGUAAAAGCAAAACAAGUUUACCUACUAUGUGACUUCCCAGAGUAUUUCAAACCAAAUCGCCCCGUGAAGCUCUGUGUGUUCGGCUGGGGACGAGACAUUUCCAAACGCACGGGAUCAAGGCAUCCCGCGGUGAUAUUCGUGGACGCAUGCUCUGUAGAGCGGGCUCUGGUAAAGAUGAGUGUCUUUUUGUCUCACCGGGUCUUCCCCAUACCUUGCAUGGAGGACAACUUCUCAUUCGUCCAGAUUUUUCUAGUUGGGGACUGAAAGGCCCACGCUACCAAAAGUUUGGAGGUCAGACGUCAGCUCACAUCACUCCUCGAGGGUGUGCAGUCACUAUGGCCGCCGCGCCUCUAGUUCACUGGGGGCAGGACAGACAAGGCAGGCCACAGGCAGACACUCUUCAAGAAGGAUGGGGAUCGACUACCUGGGAGGCAGGCAGAGGUGGCUUCCAGGCUGCUUGUUACGACCACACGGCCCACGUGAGGCUGGUGAGAAACCGCAUUUGACUUUUGAUAUUACAAAAGCGGACUGUGAAAUGAGUCCCUCCCCUCCCCCCCCAACAGGAGGCUGUGAUGUUUGGGAAGGGAAGCCCUGUUAAAACCCUCAGAAUAGCCCCUGCAUUCACCCACGCCCGCCCCACACAGCUUUCAAACACUGACCACCACCAGCACCACCGUCAGGAGUCAUCUCUAGAUAAAGGGGAAAAAUUAUCAUUACAUUAAAGCAAAAACAUAUUUGGAAGUGCCGCAGAUGACUUAAUUUGGCCUGUGACAAAAGGGAAAGGGACAGCUAUGCAGUCCAAGAGGAGAGAGGUGCUUCCUAGAGAGCUUCACCCUCUCCAUUAUACCUUAGCCGGCAGCCUGGGAGGGGAGCGGGCUUCUCUGUGGCGUGGCUCAUCAGCAAAAGGAGAACUCUGACAUUGGUUAAAAUGUUGACGUGACAGGCGACGCGAAGGUGCCACACUGUUGUCAAAUUGCAGUGGGAGCCCUGCAGCCUGUGUCUUGAUUCCUAUAGUCUCCCCUCCCCGCCACCGCCACCACCCCUAAGUGCAGUGUACUUUAAGCUGCUACAAAAGGGAAUCUUUGUCGAGCAAAAUGCGCUGGGAAAGGACAGAUAACUGUUCCGAGGUCUGAGCCAAGCUAUGACUUCCUUCACAAAGUGUUUGCCUGCGUUUAGCGUUUAUGCAUACCCAAAUCCAGUGUUUGCCUUCAUCUCAAGCCUUUUGAUUCCGGGUGGCUGUGUUAUUUAUGUUCUCUCUUAUCCUCAAAUUCUCCAUUGGAUCUGUUUCCUCUGCCUGCGCUGACGGCCCCUCUGUUGGGAAAAACACAAUAAAACAAAAAUAUACUAGAAGCCACGGGGAACUCUUUAAC